GGAGUUUAGAUGCAAAGUUGAAAGUUUAAGAAAGUGUUUUCGGACCAGGUCUUUGUAGCUGUUUAUGCUGUACCCUCUGGCGGGCCUGUCUGUCCAUCAAGGAAUCAUUAAAUGGCUCUAUAAAUUUCAUUACCUAACAGUAUUCUUCUAAGUGCCUUAAUAUAGAGAUUAUACUGACUUUUAAAAAGUGUUCCAAUAGGCUUAAAACUCUGUUAAGAAUGGUGACAACUGUAUUUCAUUUAUAUUUCAUUUCUAGGCACAGCUACGCUGUAGUUUGUUUGUCUGCCUCUUUACAUAAAGUCUGUAAGCAUAUAAUGGGGGUCUAACUAAUACUCCUCACAAAUAUACGAGCCUUCAAAAAUAUUAUUUUCCCCACUGAAAUCCAUCCCAAAUCAAACAGAUUUGAAGGAGAAAUGAUGAAAAAAGAGCCUGAAUUCACUGCUUUUCUGCCUGUGCUGCCCUCUAAAAUCCUGGUGCAGCAGCAAGUUGCAUUUACCAAUCCCAUUGAUUUAUCAGUCAAUGCCAUUCCUGCUUGCCCUGGCUUGCUGUUAGCAGAGGGACUUGCGGUUUUAUGCCAGGCUGUGCUGGGUGCACAGCUCUGCGAUAUCAGUCCAGGAGAGCUGUUAUCUUCUGUGCUGGCGGAAAACAAACCUGAAUGGCUGGAGGAAGGCCCCUUUGUGCACUAUUUGCAUGUGCUGGGAUGGGGGGAUUAACCUGGGAGGGUGAUUUGGGGCGGCAAGCCCACCUGAGCCCAGCCACCCAAACAGAGCUGGAGCAAGCCCGGCUUUGGGGAUAUCCAGAUUUGGGCUGAUACAAGGGAACUGCCUCUGCACGGGGAAGAUAGAGCCCUUCAGGGCCUCUCUGCAGAAAGCUCUGGCUGCCCAGAAAUAUCCUCGGCCGGCUUCUGUUGGAGACUGCCUCCCUCUAGUGAGGGCGAGCGCAACGCACACGCACGGCCCGGUGCCUUGGUCUCCGUGCUGCGCGAGCUGCAGGUGCUGUGCAGGUCGUGGGUGCUGUGCUGGGUACAUCUUGGGUGUUAUUUUGCAUGCGUCUUGGGUGCUGUGCUGGGUACAUCUUGGGUGUUAUUUUGCAUGCAUCUUGGGUGCUGUGCUGGGUA
RNAcentral lists this long non-coding RNA (1117 nucleotides) under Anser cygnoides (Swan goose). Its description in RNAcentral is "lncRNA (ENSACDG00005002611.1)". The record is from RNAcentral. Lineage: Eukaryota; Metazoa; Chordata; Aves; Anseriformes; Anatidae.